AGUCAUAACUAGGGGAGCCCAAUGAGCUGGGCUGAGAAGGAAACGCUUUGAAGUUUCCUGACUCUUCGGACCUGAUCUGGAUCAUGCCAGCGUAGGGAAGUUAGAAUAAUCACCA
This 115-nucleotide non-coding RNA is filed under the name Halobacillus karajensis. RNAcentral describes it as "TPP sequence". It matches the Rfam family "TPP riboswitch aptamer (THI element)". From Rfam's summary of the family: Vitamin B(1) in its active form thiamin pyrophosphate (TPP) is an essential coenzyme that is synthesised by coupling of pyrimidine and thiazole moieties in bacteria. The record is from Rfam by way of RNAcentral. Lineage: Bacteria; Bacillati; Bacillota; Bacilli; Caryophanales; Bacillaceae.